This 250-nucleotide long non-coding RNA is filed under the name Carica papaya (papaya). RNAcentral describes it as "long non-coding RNA (CPAP_LNC001402)". Lineage: Eukaryota; Viridiplantae; Streptophyta; Magnoliopsida; Brassicales; Caricaceae. The record is from RNAcentral.
UUUCUCGAGGGCUGCUAGAGUGGAAUCGGUGGAUUGAGCUUCCUUUAUUCUCUGGAUCAACUCAGGUUGAACAAUCAGGUGGGCCAAGCAUGUAACCCUCUUCAGGUCUUGAAGUCGUACCUGUUGUGCGGCCCCUAUUGCCUUACAUUCUGAAACCACAAGGUGAGCUAAUAUACUUGUACUUUUUCUGCUGAGUACGUCGGUUACCACGUUGCCCUCGCCUGGAUGAUACAAGAUGUUGCAAUCGUAG